This 72-nucleotide transfer RNA is filed under the name Camelus bactrianus (Bactrian camel). It matches the Rfam family "tRNA". From Rfam's summary of the family: Transfer RNA (tRNA) molecules are approximately 80 nucleotides in length. Their secondary structure includes four short double-helical elements and three loops (D, anti-codon, and T loops). Lineage: Eukaryota; Metazoa; Chordata; Mammalia; Artiodactyla; Camelidae. RNAcentral also lists the same sequence under 3 other names. The record is from Rfam by way of RNAcentral.
GUGGGUAUAGCUCAGUGGUAGAGCACAUGCUUAGCAUGCACAAGGUCUUGGGUUUAAUCCCCAGUAUCUCCA